RNAcentral lists this ribosomal RNA (409 nucleotides) under uncultured bacterium. Its description in RNAcentral is "bacterial SSU rRNA". It matches the Rfam family "Bacterial small subunit ribosomal RNA", at positions 505 to 916 of the family's 1533-position model. The record is from RNAcentral.
GUGCCAGCAGCCGCGGUAAUACGGGGGUGCAAGCGUUAUCCGGAUUCAUUGGGUUUAAAGGGUGCGCAGGCGGAGUACUUAAGUCAGUGGUGAAAUCCCGGGGCUCAACCCCGGAACUGCCAUUGAUACUGAAUAUCUGGAAUACGGUUGAAGUGGGCGGAAUGUAGCAUGUAGCGGUGAAAUGCAUAGAGAUGCUACAGAACACCGAUCGCGAAGGCAGCUCACUAAGCCGAUAUUGACGCUCAGGCACGAAAGCGUGGGGAGCGAACAGGAUUAGAUACCCUGGUAGUCCACGCCGUAAACGAUGAUAACUCGUUGUUGGCGACACACAGUCAGCGACUAAGCGAAAGCGAUAAGUUAUCCACCUGGGGAGUACGAUCGCAAGGUUGAAACUCAAAUGAAUUGACGG